This 433-nucleotide ribosomal RNA is filed under the name uncultured bacterium. RNAcentral describes it as "partial 16S ribosomal RNA". It matches the Rfam family "Bacterial small subunit ribosomal RNA", at positions 29 to 507 of the family's 1533-position model. The record is from RNAcentral.
AACGAACGCUGGCGGCAUGCCUAACACAUGCAAGUCGAACGAGACCUUCGGGUCUAGUUGCGCACGGGUGCGUAACGCGUGGGAACCUUCCCUUAGGUUCGGUAUAACUUUCCGAAAGGGGUGCUAAUACCGGACAAUUUCUUCGGACCAAAGAUUUAUCGCCAUGGGAUGGGCCCGCGUUGGAUUAGCUAGUUGGUAGGGUAAAAGUCUACCAAGGCGAAGUUCCAUAGCUGGUCUGAGAGGAUGAUCAGCCACACUGGGAGUGGGACACGGCCCAGACUCCUACGGGAGGCAGCAGUGGGGAAUAAUGGACGAUGGGCGAAAGACUGAUCCAGCAAUGCCGCGUAAGUGAUGAAGGCCUUAGGGUUGUAAAGCUCUUUUAACCGGGAUGAUAAUGACAGUACCGGGAGAAUAAGCUCCGGCUAACUCCGUG